GAUGAACGCUAGCUACAGGCUUAACACAUGCAAGUCGAGGGGAAACGGCAUUUAGUGCUUGCACCGAAUGGACGUCGACCGGCGCACGGGUGAGUAACGCGUAUCCAACCUUCCCAUAACUAAGGGAUAACCUGCCGAAAGGCAGACUAAUACCUUAUGUAAUCCUUUGAUGGCAUCAGAUAAGGAUAAAAGAUUUAUCGGUUAUGGAUGGGGAUGCGUCUGAUUAGCUUGUUGGCGGGGUAACGGCCCACCAAGGCAACGAUCAGUAGGGGUUCUGAGAGGAAGGUCCCCCACAUUGGAACUGAGACACGGUCCAAACUCCUACGGGAGGCAGCAGUGAGGAAUAUUGGUCAAUGGACGGAAGUCUGAACCAGCCAAGUAGCGUGCAGGAUGACGGCCCUAUGGGUUGUAAACUGCUUUUGAUGGGGAUAAAGUCAAUCACGUGUGGUUGUUUGAGGUGCCUUACGAAUAAGGGGCGGCUAAUUCCGUGCCAGCAGCCGCGGUAAAGGGGCGGGC
RNAcentral lists this ribosomal RNA (516 nucleotides) under Prevotella melaninogenica. Its description in RNAcentral is "bacterial SSU rRNA". It matches the Rfam family "Bacterial small subunit ribosomal RNA", at positions 28 to 533 of the family's 1533-position model. The record is from RNAcentral. Lineage: Bacteria; Pseudomonadati; Bacteroidota; Bacteroidia; Bacteroidales; Prevotellaceae.